Molecule: ribosomal RNA, 253 nt
Filed under: uncultured bacterium
Lineage: Bacteria
Description: partial 16S ribosomal RNA
Rfam family: Bacterial small subunit ribosomal RNA
Source: RNAcentral
UACGUAGGGGGCAAGCGUUGUCCGGAAUCAUUGGGCGUAAAGAGCGUGUAGGCGGCCCGAUAAGUCCGCCGUGAAAGUCCAGGGCUCAACCCUGGAAUGCCGGUGGAAACUGUCGGGCUGGAGUCCGGAAGAGGCGAGUGGAAUUCCUGGUGUAGCGGUGAAAUGCGCAGGUAUCGGGAGGAACACCAAUGGCGAAGGCAGCUCGCUGGGACGGUACUGACGCUGAGACGCGAAAGCGUGGGGAGCAAACAGG